UUGGCCAAGCUGGUCUCGAACUCCUGUCCUCGAACUCCUGUCCUCAAGUGAUCCACCCGCCUCAGCCUCUCAAAGUGCUGGGAUUACAGGUGUGAGCCACCACACCCAGCAGUGUUUUAUUUUUGAGACAGGGUAUCAUUCUGUUGCCCAGGCUUGAGUGCAGUGGUGCAAUCAUAGAUCACUGCAGCCUUUUAACUCCUGGGCUCAAGUCAUCCUCCUGCUUAGCCUCCCAAGUAGCUAGGACCACAGACACAUGCCAUCACACUUGGCUAUUUUUAAAAAAUUUUUUGUAGAGAUGGGGUCUCGCUAUGUUACCCAAACUGGUCCUGAACUCCUGGACUCAAUUGAUCCUCCCACCUUGGCCUUCCAGGUGCUGGGAUUUCUUUGGGAGUACAGCAUGGUACAGCAGGAGAUCAUUUGAUGUUACCUCUGUGCAGUGUUGCUAGUCAGCGAAAGACUAUAAUACCUGUGGGGACAGCGAUUAGCCACCACAACCAGUCUUUAUUUAAAGUUAUUAAAAAUGGCUGGGCGCAGUGGCUCACACCUGUAAUCCUAGCACUUUGGGAGGCCGAGGCAGAUGGAUCACCUGACGUGAGGAAUUUGAUACCAGCCUGGCCAACAUGGUGAAACCCCAUCUCUACUAAAAAAUACAAAAAUUAGCUGGGUGUGGUCCUGUAGUCCCAGCUACUUGGGAGGCUGGGGCAGGAGAAUUACUUGAACCCAGGAGGCAGAGGUUGCAGUGAGCCGAGAUUGUGCCACUGCACUCCAGCCUGGGUGACAGAGAGAGAUUCCAUCUCAAAAAAACAAGUUAUUAAAAAUGUAUAUGAAUGCUCCUAAUAUGGUCAGGAAGCAAGGAAGCGAAGGAUAUAUUAUGAGUUUUAAGAAGGUGCUUAGCUGUAUAUUUAUCUUUCAAAAUGUAUUAGAAGAUUUUAGAAUUCUUUCCUUCAUGUGCCAUCUCUACAGGCACCCAUCAGAAAAAGCAUACUGCCGUUACCGUGAAACUGGUUGUAAAAGAGAAACUAUCUAUUUGCACCUUAAAAGACAGCUAGAUUUUGCUGAUUUUCUUCUUUCGGUUUUCUUUGUCAGCAAUAAUAUGUGAGAGGACAGAUUGUUAGAUAUGAUAGUAUAAAAAAUGGUUAAUGACAAUUCAGAGGCGAGGAGAUUCUGUAAACUUAAAAUUACUAUAAAUGAAAUUGAUUUGUCAAGAGGAUAAAUUUUAGAAAACACCCAAUACCUUAUAACUGUCUGUUAAUGCUUGCUUUUUCUCUACCUUUCUUCCUUGUUUCAGUUGGGAAGCUUUUGGCUGCAAGUAACAGAAACUCCUAAUUCAAAUGGCUUAAGCAAUAAGGAAAUGUAUAUUCCCACAUAACUAGACGUUCAAACAGGCCAGGCUCCAGCACUUCAGUACGUCACCAGGGAUCUGGGUUCUUCCCAGCUCUCUGCUCUGCCAUCUUUAGCGCUGGCUUCAUUCUCAGACUCUGGUAGCAUGAUGGCUGUAGCUGUUUCAUGGGCCCCUUCAAACCUCAUAGCAACCAGAGGAAGAAAAUGAGCCAUUUUUUGAGUCUCCUUCAUAGACUUGAAUAACUCUUUUUCAGAGCUUCUCACAGCAAACCUCUCCUCAUGUCUCCUCAUGUCUUAUUGUUCAGAAAUGGGUAAUGUGGCCAUUUCACCAGUCACUGCCAACAACAACGAGGUUCCUAUAAUUGUCUCUGAGUAACCCUUUGGAAUGGAGAGGGUGUUGGUCAGUCUACAAACUGAACACUGCAGUUCUGCGCUUUUUACCAGUGAAAAAAUGUAAUUAUUUUCCCCUCUUAAGGAUUAAUAUUCUUCAAAUGUAUGCCUGUUAUGGAUAUAGUAUCUUUAAAAUUUUUUAUUUUAAUAGCUUUAGGGGUACACACUUUUUGCUUACAGGGGUGAAUUGUGUAGUGGUGAAGACUCGGCUUUUAAUGUACUUGUCACCUGAGUGAUGUACAUUGUACCCAAUAGGUAAUUUUUCAUCCAUUACCCUCCUUCCGCCCUCUUCCCUUCUGAGUCUCCAACAUCCCUUAUACCACUGUGUAUGUUCUUGUGUACCUACAGCUAAGCUUCCACUUAUAAGUGAGAACAUGCAGUAUUUGGUUUUCCAUUCCUGAGUUACUUCCCUUAGGAUAACAGCCCCCAGUUCCGUCCAAGUUGCUGCAAAAUACAUUAUUCUUCUUUAUGGCUGAGUAAUAGUCCAUGGUACAUAUAUACCACAUUUUCUUUAUCCACUUAUCAGUUGAUGGACACUUAGGUUAAUUCCAUUCAAUUUCAUUCAAUUUAAGUAUAUUUGUAAGGAGCUAAAGCUGAAAAUUAAAUUUUAGAUCUUUCAAUACUCUUAAAUUUUAUAUGUAAGUGGUUUUUAUAUUUUCACAUUUGAAAUAAAGUAAUUUUUAUAAUCUUG
This 2422-nucleotide long non-coding RNA is filed under the name Homo sapiens (human). Its description in RNAcentral is "non-protein coding lnc-COQ2-2:1". Lineage: Eukaryota; Metazoa; Chordata; Mammalia; Primates; Hominidae. The record is from RNAcentral.